Molecule: long non-coding RNA, 275 nt
Filed under: Brassica napus (rape)
Lineage: Eukaryota; Viridiplantae; Streptophyta; Magnoliopsida; Brassicales; Brassicaceae
Description: long non-coding RNA (BNAP_LNC020845)
Source: RNAcentral
UAGACAAGAAAUAGAUGAAUGACACAUUACAACAAGAGAGAGCUGUGUCCUUAUUAUACUACCAAUAUUUUAUUGAGAAACUUCAGUAAUGCAUAACUCGAUGACGCAUUACAAAACGAGAGAGGUGGUCUUUGAAAAAAAAAGAGAGAGGUGGUCCGAAAAUGUCUGUUGAUUCCUGCUUAAGCAGAAGAGGAAGAAGCAGCCUUGGCAGCGUGAAGUCUGGAACUAACAGCCUCCCAAGACACAAGAUUGUUCAUGAAUGUCUUUAUGUAAUC